Molecule: long non-coding RNA, 758 nt
Organism: Ctenopharyngodon idella (grass carp)
Lineage: Eukaryota; Metazoa; Chordata; Actinopteri; Cypriniformes; Xenocyprididae
Exons: 2
Source: RefSeq, a predicted model, not a curated record
GUUGGAUGUUGCGGCGCUAUGACACGUUCAGCAGGUUGUUUUUAGUAAAUGUGGUGCAGGGCAAAGCAGAGAUUUCUCGAAAUGAAUUAUGUCAGACUCGAAAACACUGGCAGCACGGGUUGAAUUGUGCGGAAUUUUUCCAGGAUCAACAAAAGAUGAUGUUUGCUUGGCAAAAUCACAGUCACAUGGUUGGUAAGUAAAUGAAAAUAUAAAGAAGAAGGAAACUUCUUCAGGAAAACAUGUUCUUUAUUAAAACACAAUUAAACUAGUUAUUUAUUGAAACACACUGCAAAGUAGCACAAAAUGUUUCUUCUUCCAAAAUGUAUACAACACCAGUGAUUGAUUCAAUCAAGUACAUCUUCAAAUUUAAUUAAUGUAAACAUUCUAUUUGCCUUAUAAAUUAAAGAUGCUUGCAUCCAAGCACAUAAAAUUGCUCCAUGUUACAGACUACAAGACAGAUGUGUUUAUAGGAACAAUCCUUUUCACCACUACAGAAAAGAAGCACAGUGUUUAUACAUGUAAUAAUGUGUUUACAUAUUUCUGCUUCACAAAAGAGAACCUCCACUUACUUAUAUUGUCUAUAAACUUUGUCCAUAUCAUGCACAAGAUGUUUAGCUGUAAUAUAUGACUGCAGUCGCAUACGGCAAUACAUUUUUUUUUUUUCAUACAUCCUGAAAAUGAUAAAGUCUCUCAGUCUGGGAGAGGAAUUUCCACAACCUCAUGCUUUCUGAUAUAUAUCAUCUCUAUUAUGCCAUCAA